GAAACGGUUUUUCUCAGAACCAUAAACUACUUUAAAAGAAGAAUAG
Non-coding RNA from Streptococcus parauberis NCFD 2020, 46 nucleotides. The record is from Rfam. Lineage: Bacteria; Bacillati; Bacillota; Bacilli; Lactobacillales; Streptococcaceae.